AGAUUAAGCCAUGCAUGUCUAAGCAUGAACUGAAGUAAAGUGAAGCCGCGAAUAGCUCAUUACAACAGCCGUUGUUUCUUGGAUCUCUACUUGGAUAACUGUGGUAAUUCUAGAGCUAAUACACGCAAUCGAGCUCCGACCGAAAGGGACGAGUGCAUUUAUUAGAACAAAACCAAUCGGUGCUUCGGUUGGUGAAUCUGAAUAACUGAGCAGAUCGCUCGGUCCUAGUACCGGCGACAUAUCCUUCUCUGCCUUAUCAACUUUCGAUGGUAGUUUAUGUGCCUACCAUGGUUGUAACGGGUAACGGAGAAUAAGGGUUCGACUCCGGAGAGGGAGCCUGAGAAACGGCUACCACUUCCAAGGAAG
This 366-nucleotide ribosomal RNA is filed under the name Terschellingia sp. 26P7I20. RNAcentral's name for it is "SSU rRNA". It matches the Rfam family "Eukaryotic small subunit ribosomal RNA", at positions 41 to 424 of the family's 1831-position model. Lineage: Eukaryota; Metazoa; Nematoda; Chromadorea; Monhysterida; Linhomoeidae. The record is from RNAcentral.